UGGGGAAUUUUGGACAAUGGGCGAAAGCCUGAUCCAGCAAUGCCGCGUGUGUGAAGAAGGCCUUCGGGUUGUAAAGCACUUUUGUCCGGAAAGAAAUCCUUGGCUCUAAUACAGUCGGGGGAUGACGGUACCGGAAGAAUAAGCACCGGCUAACUACGUGCCAGCAGCCGCGGUAAUACGUAGGGUGCAAGCGUUAAUCGGAAUUACUGGGCGUAAAGCGUGCGCAGGCGGUUUGCUAAGACCGAUGUGAAAUCCCCGGGCUCAACCUGGGAACUGCAUUGGUGACUGGCAGGCUAGAGUAUGGCAGAGGGGGGUAGAAUUCCACGUGUAGCAGUGAAAUGCGUAGAGAUGUGGAGGAAUACCGAUGGCGAAGGCAGCCCCCUGGGCCAAUACUGACGCUCAUGCACGAAAGCGUGGGGAGCAAACAGGAUUAGAUACCCUGGUAGUCCACGCCCUAAACGAUGUCAACUAGUUGUUGGGGAUUCAUUUCCUUAGUAACGUAGCUAACGCGUG
RNAcentral lists this ribosomal RNA (513 nucleotides) under uncultured bacterium. Its description in RNAcentral is "partial 16S ribosomal RNA". It matches the Rfam family "Bacterial small subunit ribosomal RNA", at positions 355 to 861 of the family's 1533-position model. The record is from RNAcentral.